UUUCGGGUGGGGGGGCCUGCGGAGGGAUCAUUACCGAGUUUACAACUCCCAAACCCAAUGUGAACGUUACCAAACUGUUGCCUCGGCGGGAUCUCUGCCCCGGGUGCGUCGCAGCCCCGGACCAAGGCGCCCGCCGGAGGACCAACCAAAACUCUUUUUGUAUACCCCCUCGCGGGUUUUUUAUAAUCUGAGCCUUCUCGGCGCCUCUCGUAGGCGUUUCGAAAAUGAAUCAAAACUUUCAACAACGGAUCUCUUGGUUCUGGCAUCGAUGAAGAACGCAGCGAAAUGCGAUAAGUAAUGUGAAUUGCAGAAUUCAGUGAAUCAUCGAAUCUUUGAACGCACAUUGCGCCCGCCAGUAUUCUGGCGGGCAUGCCUGUCCGAGCGUCAUUUCAACCCUCGAACCCCUCCGGGGGGUCGGCGUUGGGGAUCGGCCCUCCCUUAGCGGGUGGCCGUCUCCGAAAUACAGUGGCGGUCUCGCCGCAGCCUCUCCUGCGCAGUAGUUUGCACACUCGCAUCGGGAGCGCGGCGCGUCCACAGCCGUUAAACACCCAACUUCUGAAAUGUGACCUCGGAUCAUGCUCGUAUGCCCAGUG
Molecule: ribosomal RNA, 593 nt
Filed under: Trichoderma harzianum
Lineage: Eukaryota; Fungi; Ascomycota; Sordariomycetes; Hypocreales; Hypocreaceae
Description: partial 18S ribosomal RNA
Rfam family: 5.8S ribosomal RNA (bases 234-387)
Source: RNAcentral